AGAUGAUUAGCUCAGUUGGGAGAGCGGCUCCCUUACAAGGAGUAGGUCGACAGUUCGAACCUGUCAUCAUCUA
This 73-nucleotide transfer RNA is filed under the name Salmonella enterica. Its description in RNAcentral is "tRNA-Val". It matches the Rfam family "tRNA". Rfam says of the family: Transfer RNA (tRNA) molecules are approximately 80 nucleotides in length. Their secondary structure includes four short double-helical elements and three loops (D, anti-codon, and T loops). Further hydrogen bonds mediate the characteristic L-shaped molecular structure. tRNAs have two regions of fundamental functional importance: the anti-codon, which is responsible for specific mRNA codon recognition, and the 3' end, to which the tRNAs corresponding amino acid is attached (by aminoacyl-tRNA synthetases). tRNAs cope with the degeneracy of the genetic code in two manners: having more than one tRNA (with a specific anti-codon) for a particular amino acid; and 'wobble' base-pairing, i.e. permitting non-standard base-pairing at the 3rd anti-codon position. Lineage: Bacteria; Pseudomonadati; Pseudomonadota; Gammaproteobacteria; Enterobacterales; Enterobacteriaceae. RNAcentral also lists the same sequence under 1 other name. The record is from RNAcentral.